RNAcentral lists this non-coding RNA (74 nucleotides) under unclassified sequences. The record is from RNAcentral.
AAAGCUGUGUAAAAAAGAUAAACUGUCUUGUCUUCAUCGAAGACUUCGUCAGUUUCCUAUUUUUACUUUGCUUU